UUUUUUUUUUUUUUUUUUACAAAACUACACUAAAAUGGGAUGCCUAGAUUACAUAAACUUAAAACUUACUAGAGCCCUUGAAAAUUUUAUUCAAUACUUUGUUGACUGAGCAAUCACCCAAAAGGCUUCCCAUCUACCAGAAGGGACAUGUAGACGAAUAUCACAUAAUUAGCUGAUGAUUAAAUUAUUUGGCAGCCCAUGAAUGUUCAGUUUGAUUUAGCAAAGGUCAAGCAAAACACAGUUGUAGUGUCUGAAAUAUCUAUUCUUGAGGGAGAAAAUGGACACAUAGAUUAUAUGUAAAAUAAUUAAAACUUAUGGAGUAAAAAGACACUAUUUCUUUGUAGUAACGUAUUAGUAGCAGAUUGCUUUUUAAAUUUUUUUUCUGUUUGUAAAAGAACUUUACAUUCAUUUUUGGAAAAUUCAGGAUUAUAUAAAGGUGCUAAGAAGAAAAUAAAAAUCACCUAAUAAAAAAUUUUACCACCUAGUGAAAAACCAUAGUCAACACUUGAGUAGUCUUUCUCUUUUUUCAAGGCCUUUAUAUUCUAAUGACUUUUUUAAAGUUAGAAUCCUACUGUUUAAUACAAAAAAGAAUAAUAAAAUUGUACAAAGUAAUGCGUAUAUUGGUUAAAAGUCAGAUAGCAUUUGAAGUCAUAAAAUUACAAAAAAAAAAAAAUAGUCCCCACCUUAGCCCUAAUUCUUGUUCUCCAGAGCAACCACUUAUACCUUUUUUUAGCUGAUUAUCAUAUUUAUAGUUAUGUUUCUAAGUAUACUUUUAUUGUCACUUCAUGAAUGGCCCAGAAUGAGUAUAGAAUAGGAAGUCAACAAUUCAUUUAAAUAUUUCUUUAUUAUGAAGCAUUUAGGAUGUCGGAAAGUUUUGCUAUUGUGGGUAAUAUGACAGCUAACAUCCCUUCUAGACACACACAUGCUGUACACCUCUCUCCUGUUGUUUAGAAUGAAUUUCUUGGAGUGCAAUUGCCAAAUCAAAAUUGCCCAAUUGCCAUAAAAAACAGUUUGCAUUCAGCAUUCUUUCCAGAGUUAAUUUUAUGUGGUUAAAUAUGUUGAUAUUUCUUGCCUAAUUUCUUUGUUGUUAUGCUUAGGAGGGAAAACUUCUCCACCCCAAGAUCAAAUAAACACACACCUCAGUUUCCUUCUAGGUGUCCUGUGGUUUCGUAGUUUAUACUAAAGUCUUUGAUCUAGCUGAAGUUUAUUUUGGCCUCUAAUAAGAUACAGGAGUCUAUUUUUCUUUCCAAAAUAUUAUGCCCUUUCUCCACAACUCUUCAAUGACUAGUCCUUUCUUUUCCCACUGAUUCGAAAUGUUGCCAUUACCAUCGAUUAAGUUCUUGUAUAUUCUGGUACUCGUUUUGAAAUGAAGUAAUGGUGGUGGUGGGCAGGGAGUUGAAUUAAUGUGAUUGUCUGUUCUUUCACCAGUACCAAGCUGUUUAAGUUAAUAAACACAGUAGAGUUUGAUAC
This 1470-nucleotide long non-coding RNA is filed under the name Homo sapiens (human). RNAcentral describes it as "novel transcript". Lineage: Eukaryota; Metazoa; Chordata; Mammalia; Primates; Hominidae. The record is from RNAcentral.